ACCCGCUGAAUUUAAGCAUAUAAGUAAGUGGUGGAAAUUAAACCAAAUGGGAUUCCUUAAGUAAUUGCGAAUGAACAAGGACAUGCUUAGCUUGACAAUUGGAGCCUCUGGCUUCGACUUGUAUUUUUGAAAUGUAUUACCAACAGAGGUGCAGGUGUCAGCCUAUUGAAAGAAAGCGUCAAUGAGGGUGAGAAUCCUGUUUGUCAUGUGCAAUCCUCUGUGCACGGUGUAUGUUUGCUGAGUCACACUCCUUGGCAUUGGAAUGCAAAGUGGGUGGUAAGUUUCAUGUAAAGGUAAAUAUAGGAUUGAGACUGAUAGCACACAAGUACCAUGAGGGAAAUAUGAAAAGGACUUUGAAAAGAGAAUUAAAUGAGUUUGUAUUUGCUGAACAGAAAAUAAACAGAUUUGAUGUUGCUUGGUGAGAUUGUGGUGCUUGCUUGACAAUAGGUUUUGAUUGUGGGUGUGAUGAUUCUUGCUUUGCUUGCCAGUUUCUAUUUGUACAUUUGAUUACCCUUGCACAUGAAUGGUAAUUUUCCUGCGGGGUUCGGAUUGCAUGUGUUUGUGAUGAUUUGUGUUUUGAUACAUGUGUCUGGUGCUUUUGUAAUUGCUCAUUUCUUGAAGCUGGGCCUACCCUACUAGAGCUUACAAGCCCUGGCACACAAUUGCUGGCAAAAUGCUUCUGCUUGACCCGUCUUGAAACACGGUCCAAGG
Molecule: ribosomal RNA, 711 nt
Filed under: Alexandrium affine
Lineage: Eukaryota; Dinophyceae; Gonyaulacales; Pyrocystaceae
Description: LSU rRNA
Rfam family: Eukaryotic large subunit ribosomal RNA
Source: RNAcentral